Cottoperca gobio is the source of this 119-nucleotide ribosomal RNA. The record is from Ensembl. Lineage: Eukaryota; Metazoa; Chordata; Actinopteri; Perciformes; Bovichtidae.
GAUUACGGCCAUACCACACUGACAAUGCCCGAUCUCGUCUGAUCUCGGAAGCUAAGCAGAGUUGGGCUAGGUCAGUACUUGGAUGGGUGAAUGCCUGGGAAUACCCGGUGCUGUAAGCA